CCUCCCGAGUAGCUGGGAUUACAAGUGUGCACCAUGCCCAGCUAAUUUUUUUAUUUUUAGUAGAGACAGAGUUUCACCAUGUUGGCCAGGCUGGUCUCGAACUCCUGACCUCAGGUGAUCCGCCCGGACUUAGCCUCCUAAAGUGCUGGCAUUAGAGGCGGGAGCCACUGCACCUGGCCAAAACCUGUGUUUUGGAAGGGCAGGCAAGAAGGCGCAGAUGUUGCAGCCCACCCCAGAUGGCUCCCCUCCUCUUUCUCCUCACCUCCUGGCCUCAGAGCAAUCCGGGAGGAUGAGAGAGACUCCUCUGGUGUCCAGACACCACUGGGCUUCCUGGGGUCUAGACAGCAGCUUGUCACAUUUCCAGAGAGCUGACGCCACUGGAGGAGGCCUCCCUGCAGAAUCAGAAGCUGAAGGCUGCGUAUGAGGCCCGAAUGGCGAGGCUAGACCCCAGCCAGGCCAUGCAGAAGACAUCCCUGACCCUCUCUCUACAGCGGCAGAUGAUGGAGAACCUAGUGAUUGCCAAAGCCCGGGAGGAGACAAGAAAGAUGGAGGAGCGCCGGCUGCGGCUCCAGGAGGCCGCCAACAGGUGGGACUCCUGCCCGCCCCUGGGGCCGCUGCGGGGAGGGCCUGGCCCCGGCACCCACCGCGUGCCUUUCUCCCCAGGAGGUUUUGCAGCCAAGUCGCCCUGACCCCGGAGGAACGGGAGCAGCGGGCCCUUUACGCCGCCAUCCUGGAGUACGAACAGGACCAUGACUGGCCGAAGCACUGGAAGGCCAAGCUCAAGAGGAAUCCGGGGGACCUGUCACUCGUGACCAGCCUGGUCUCACACCUGCUCAGCCUCCCCGACCACCCGAUCGCGCAGCUCCUGAGGCGGCUGCAGUGCUCCGUGUACAGCGCCCUGUAUCCCGCCGUGAG
This 915-nucleotide small RNA is filed under the name Pan troglodytes (chimpanzee). Its description in RNAcentral is "retained intron". The record is from RNAcentral. Lineage: Eukaryota; Metazoa; Chordata; Mammalia; Primates; Hominidae.